CUGGGAGAUUGUGAAAAUGUAUGCACUUUUAUUUGGUGUGUAUGGCCCUUUAAGACUGUCGGUGGGCAUAUUGGGGCUUAUGGACUCUUUAUGUGACUGGUGCUGGCCCUUUAAACACCUUUUUUGGGACAUCAGGAAGAUUGGGACACUGCCCCUUUAAGGCGGUGUCCCCUGUGUCCCCAGACCUGGUGCAAACCCUUUGUGCCUGCCUUGCUAUUUCCCACUUGGUUCAGUAAAUGGGAAAUUAUUUCAGCUGCAGAGACUAAGUCCCAUUCG
Molecule: non-coding RNA, 276 nt
Organism: Pelobates cultripes (western spadefoot toad)
Lineage: Eukaryota; Metazoa; Chordata; Amphibia; Anura; Pelobatidae
Source: the annotation of a GenBank genome assembly